This 507-nucleotide ribosomal RNA is filed under the name uncultured bacterium. RNAcentral's name for it is "partial 16S ribosomal RNA". The stretch from base 20 to 332 matches the Rfam family "Bacterial small subunit ribosomal RNA", at positions 47 to 358 of the family's 1533-position model. The record is from RNAcentral.
GACGAACGCUGGCGGCGUGCUUAACACAUGCAAGUCGAACGGAAAGGCCCUGCUUUUGUGGGGUGCUCGAGUGGCGAACGGGUGAGUAACACGUGAGUAACCUGCCCUUGACUUUGGGAUAACUUCAGGAAACUGGGGCUAAUACCGGAUAGGAGCUCCUGCUGCAUGGUGGGGGUUGGAAAGUUUCGGCGGUUGGGGAUGGACUCGCGGCUUAUCAGCUUGUUGGUGGGGUAGUGGCUUACCAAGGCUUUGACGGGUAGCCGGCCUGAGAGGGUGACCGGGCAGGUCGGGAAUGAGAGCCGGCCCAGAGGCGGAAGGGAGGAAGCGGGGGGAACGAGAGGCCGCAGGGGGGAAAGCGGGAGCAGGGACGCGGAGGGCGGGGAGGGGUCCGUCGGGAUAUAAAGGGAUGGCGCGGGGGAGGAGGCGGGAGGGAGGGUAAGGAGCAAAGAAGCCCGGGCUACCUAGGUGCGAGGAGCCGAGGUAAGGGACGGAAGCAGUAGGAGGCGG